This is an RNA transcript of Zootermopsis nevadensis, 2705 nucleotides long. It is a transcript of the gene named conserved oligomeric Golgi complex subunit 4, with no coding region annotated. The record is from RefSeq and is a predicted model, not a curated record. Lineage: Eukaryota; Metazoa; Arthropoda; Insecta; Blattodea; Termopsidae.
AAUUUGCAAUCGAGCAGGUGAAAACCAAAACACGUCUCCACCGGAGUAACACCGGUGCCAUGGUAUCUUUAUGUCAUUCUGAGGUCUUUUCCAAUUUAGUAACGAAAUUUACUAUAUUGGCAUGAUUGAUAAACACUAUACAAAUAGCAAAUGGCAGAGUGUCUUUUGUGAUUGUGUUUGUGAUGGCAAGUUUAGGAAAGAAUGAAGACGUAUUAUGUACGUCGGAUGGUAUUGAAAGCGUCUACAAUAAAUUAGUGGCUCAAGAGGAAGAAAUAAACAAUGGACUGGAGACUCUUCUUUCAAGGCAAUGCCACUUGGAAGCGAAACUGCGUGGCAUUACUAAGGUAUUACCAAAUCUGCAGAUUGUUCAUUCCGAUGCUCAGCAACUUGCAGAAAUGAUAACAUUUACUUCCACUUUGGCAGAAAAUGUCAGUUCAAAAGUACGCCAGCUUGAUAUUGCUAGGAGCAGGGUAUCUGAGUGCCAACAACGGGUGCAUGAUUUACUGGAUCUUCAGUUAUGUAGUGAUGGCGUACAAACUGCUCUUCGGAACGAGGAUUUUGAAAAAGCAGCUGCCCAUGUCCAUCGCUUUCUUUCCAUGGACCAGCAUCUUCUAAAACAGACUGCAGAUGAUGUGGCUGAGGAUUGUACCAGUGUCACAAAUUCAUUUUCAUUACUGCAUGAAGCAGCCACCCAGUUAGGUGCUGUUGUCACUCAGAAAUUUGAUGAAGCAGUACAUGCUGAUGAUUUGGCAUCAGUGGAGAGAUUUUUUAAAAUAUUCCCACUACUUGGGAUGCAGGAUGAGGGACUUGUCAGAUUUUCCUCAUAUCUUUGUUCAAAGUUGAAGGAUACAGCUCUUAAGAACCUGCGACUUGCACUGGAAACAAACACAUCUGACAAGCGAGCAAAUGUUAUCUAUGCCGAUACUAUAACACUCUUGUUUGAGGGAAUUGCUCGAGUCAUUGAGAUCCAUCAACCCCUAAUCGAGACAUACUAUGGUCCUGGCCGACUGUUAACAGUGGCUUCAUAUCUUCAGAGAGAAUGUGAUCGCCAGAGCAAGCGAAUCCUGGCUGAGUUUAGCAAGUGUCGGCAUUUGGAGAAGAUAGUGCAGCAAGUUAAUGAAUACAUGCGAACCAAUAAUGUGUAUAGCAAGCCAACAGACAAGCUGGAUCCCAAGGAGCUGGACCUGUUGCUUGGGGAGCUUACCAUCAUGCAUUCACGUGCUGAGCUAUAUGUGCGCUUCAUAAGAAGGAGAGUCAUGAAUGACUUAGAGAUUGGAGUGCCAAGUGGUGAUACUCGGACUGCACUGGUAUCAGAGUUAGAAGCCAUGCUUAAUGGAAGUGAGUUAUGUCAUAGAAUGCAGGAACUGUUGAGUAGUUACCUGCUGUUGGAGAGAUAUUUUAUGGAAGAGAGUGUGAAGAAGGCUGUGGUAAUGGAUUCUGUGGAAGAGGGCUCUCACACAUCCAGUAUGGUGGAUGAUGUUUUUUUCAUUGUCCGGAAAUGCAUACGUCGUGCUGGCACCAGCUCUAGCCUGGAUGGUGUGUGUGCUGUUAUCAAUAAUGCUUGUGCACUACUAGAGACUGACUUUUGUGAAGUGCUGAGACGACAGCUGCGACAGGGCUACCCAUCUGGUUAUCUGGACCUAACACAGGCAUACAGCGUGCUGCAUACUUCUAUACAGCAGGGUCGCCUGCAGGCAUCAGAUUCAGAGCAAGCACGUCUUAUGUUCCUGACUUAUUUAAACAAUGCUGAUGCAAGCACUGAAUACACUGACACAUUGCGAAGAAGCCUGAUGGACGAAGUUCCCAGUGUGUUGACGACCAUGUCAGAAAAUGAACGAGUUAAGUUGGAAAGCUGUUUGUCUGGAUUGGGCUCAGUAGCAGCCAGCUUGAAGGCUGUUAUUGACUAUGGAAUGGAACAGCUGAGAGUCAUUGUCAUCAAACCACGAGUAAAUCCGUGGGUGGAUACCUUUUUGUCUGUCAGUCAUCAGCUGUCAGAGGAGGACUUUGCAAAUUAUGAAGCAAAUGAACCAUUUGUUCAGAACCUGAUAAUGAACUUGGAUGGACUGUUGGGCCUCUUCAGAGGUUCUCUCACCACAAGCAACUACGACACAUUGGUCAGCAUCCUGACAGCUGAAGUCACCGCUCAUUUGGAGAAGGUUGUGAUCAAGUCUACGUUUAACAGGUUGGGAGGACUAGUCUUUGACAAGGAAGUGCGCGCCCUAGUGAGUUACCUCACAAGCACCACAUCAUGGUCAAUUCGUGACAAGUUUGCCCGCCUGACACAGAUGGCCACUGUGCUCAACCUUGAAAGAGUGACUGAGAUCUCAGACUAUUGGGGUAGCAAUUCUGGCCCUCUCACUUGGAGACUAACCCCUGCAGAUAUUCGUCAGGUCAUGACCCUUAGGUGAAAAAAUGAUCAUAAACCUGCUCUUCAAGUAAUCUGCGAGGGUGAGAUUUAAAUGCCCAGUGCGCCAGUGAAAACUGACAGACUUUCGAAGUGAUGACAUCAAACGGCUUAAGCUAUGAAGUAGUGGUGAAAAAUACAUCUUGAAGUCUGAAGAAUUUGUGCUGUUUCUAAAAUGAAUUUCUCUUGGGUGCGGCAGGCACCUUGCAAGGUGUAUUUUCAUUAACAUUGGUUUUAGUUCCAUUGAAAUUUCUGUACAUUUAUUUUGUUGGUUAUCACAAAUGCAUAUUUGUCUAACCAG